This 323-nucleotide small RNA is filed under the name Arabidopsis thaliana (thale cress). RNAcentral describes it as "ATSL165040". The record is from RNAcentral. Lineage: Eukaryota; Viridiplantae; Streptophyta; Magnoliopsida; Brassicales; Brassicaceae.
UUAAAAAUAAAUGACUCUAUAACUUUUAGACCGUGAGGCCAAACUUGGCAUGUGAUACCUUUUCGGAAAGUCCAAAGAGAGCUCUCCAAUUAAUGAGGAAGGAAAAUGGAAUUCUUCUAUUGUUUUUUUUUCCACUCCAAAUUUUGACAUUAAUGUAAUUUUUCUGGCCUUUUCGUGUUCUUUGCUAUAUUACGGGGCAAAACUUAUAUGUUCGGACAUUGUUUUCAAAUAUUUUGCAUGUAUCAAAGCUCUUAUAAACAAGAUAGGGUAUUCCUACAUAGCUGGUGGGAUCCACGACAAAUAGAUCAUAAAGUAUUCAAAAA